This 642-nucleotide ribosomal RNA is filed under the name uncultured Methanosaeta sp. Its description in RNAcentral is "bacterial SSU rRNA". It matches the Rfam family "Archaeal small subunit ribosomal RNA", at positions 339 to 981 of the family's 1478-position model. The record is from RNAcentral. Lineage: Archaea; Methanobacteriati; Methanobacteriota; Methanomicrobia; Methanotrichales; Methanotrichaceae.
GCGCGAAAACUUUACAAUGCGGGAAACCGUGAUAAGGGAAUCUCGAGUGCCAGCAUAUAAUGUUGGCUGUCCAGAUGCCUAAAAAGCAUCUGUUAGCAAGGGCCGGGCAAGACCGGUGCCAGCCGCCGCGGUAACACCGGCGGCCCGAGUGGUAACCGCUAUUAUUGGGUCUAAAGGGUCUGUAGCCGGCCAGGUAAGUCCCUUGGGAAAUCUGGCAGCUCAACUGUCAGGCUGCUAGGGGAUACUGUUUGGCUUGGGACCGGGAGAGGUGAGAGGUACCUUGGGGGUAGGGGUGAAAUCUUGUGAUCCUCGGGGGACCACCAGUGGCGAAGGCGUCUCACCAGAACGGGUCCGACGGUAAGGGACGAAAGCUAGGGGCACGAACCGGAUUAGAUACCCGGGUAGUCCUAGCCGUAAACGAUGCUCGCUAGGUGUCAGUCACGGUGCGACCGUGAUUGGUGCCGUAGGGAAGCCGUGAAGCGAGCCACCUGGGAAGUAUGGCCGCAAGGCUGAAACUUAAAGGAAUUGGCGGGGGAGCACUACAACGGGUGGAGCCUGCGGUUUAAUUGGAUUCAACGCCGGAAAUCUCACCGGGGGCGACAGCAAUAUGAAGGUCAGGCUGAAGACCUUACCGGAUUAGCU